RNAcentral lists this ribosomal RNA (253 nucleotides) under uncultured bacterium. Its description in RNAcentral is "partial 16S ribosomal RNA". It matches the Rfam family "Bacterial small subunit ribosomal RNA", at positions 524 to 776 of the family's 1533-position model. The record is from RNAcentral.
UACAGAGGUCUCAAGCGUUGUUCGGAUUCAUUGGGCGUAAAGGGUGCGUAGGCGGCGCGGUAAGUCGGGUGUGAAAUCUCGGGGCUUAACUCCGAAACUGCAUUCGAUACUGCCGUGCUUGAGGACUGGAGAGGAGACUGGAAUUUACGGUGUAGCGGUGAAAUGCGUAGAUAUCAAGAGGAAUACCUGAGGUGAAGACGGGUUGCUAGGCCGACACUGACGCUGAAGCGCGAAAGCCAGGGGAGCAAACGGG